GUGCUCACUUCGGCAGCACAUAUACUAAAAUUGGAACAAUACAGAGAUUAGCACGGCCCCUGUGCAAGGAUGAAGCACAAAAUAUUUAGGCCUAUAAUAUUAUA
Molecule: small nuclear RNA, 104 nt
Organism: Suncus etruscus (white-toothed pygmy shrew)
Lineage: Eukaryota; Metazoa; Chordata; Mammalia; Eulipotyphla; Soricidae
Source: RefSeq, a predicted model, not a curated record